CACGUGGUAACCUGCCAUAGGAGGGGAUAACAGUCCGGAAACGGGUGACUAAUACCGACAUUAGUUUUCUUGAUCGCAUGAUCGGGAAAGGAAAGACGGCCUUUUGUGCUGUCGCUUAUGGAUGGACCCGCGGCGUAUUAGUUAGUUGGUGAGGUAACGGCUCACCAAGACGAUGAUACGUAGCCGACCUGAGAGGGUGAUCGGCCACAUUGGGACUGAGACACGGCCCAAACUCCUACGGGAGGCAGCAGUAGGGAAUCUUCCGCAAUGGACGAAAGUCUGACGGAGCAACGCCGCGUGAGUGAAGAAAAGGUUUUUCGGAUCGUAAAACUCUGUUGUCAGAGAAGAACAAGUUGGAGAGUAACUGCUCCAGCCUUGACGGUAUCUGACCAGAAAGCCACGGCUAACUACGUGCCAGCAGCCGC
Molecule: ribosomal RNA, 425 nt
Filed under: uncultured bacterium
Lineage: Bacteria
Description: bacterial SSU rRNA
Rfam family: Bacterial small subunit ribosomal RNA
Source: RNAcentral